CAGUAGCCGCGGUAAUACAGAGGGUGCGAGCGUUAAUCGGAAUUACUGGGCGUAAAGCGUGCGCAGGCGGUUAUAUAAGACAGAUGUGAAAUCCCCGGGCUCAACCUGGGAACUGCAUUUGUGACUGUAUAGCUAGAGUACGGCAGAGGGGGAUGGAAUUCCGCGUGUAGCAGUGAAAUGCGUAGAUAUGCGGAGGAACACCGAUGGCGAAGGCAAUCCCCUGGGCCUGUACUGACGCUCAUGCACGAAAGCGUGGGGAGCAAACAGGAUUAGAUACCCCCGUAGUCCCUGUCUCUUAUAC
Molecule: ribosomal RNA, 301 nt
Filed under: uncultured bacterium
Lineage: Bacteria
Description: partial 16S ribosomal RNA
Rfam family: Bacterial small subunit ribosomal RNA
Source: RNAcentral